UACGUAGGCAGCAAGCGUUGUUCGGAAUUACUGGGCGUAAAGCGAGUGUAGGCGGUUUGCCAAGUCCGUUGUGAAAUCUCCCGGCUCAACUGGGAGGGUGCGCCGGAAACUGGCAGGCUAGGGUGCGGUAUGGGAGAGUGGAAUUCCUGGUGUAGCGGUGAAAUGCGUAGAUAUCAGGAGGAACACCGGUGGUGUAGACGGCUCUCUGGACCGGUACUGACGCUGAGGCGCGAAAGCGUGGGUAGCAAACGGG
RNAcentral lists this ribosomal RNA (253 nucleotides) under uncultured bacterium. Its description in RNAcentral is "partial 16S ribosomal RNA". It matches the Rfam family "Bacterial small subunit ribosomal RNA", at positions 524 to 776 of the family's 1533-position model. The record is from RNAcentral.